RNAcentral lists this transfer RNA (73 nucleotides) under Candidatus Moraniibacteriota bacterium. RNAcentral's name for it is "tRNA-Thr". It matches the Rfam family "tRNA". From Rfam's summary of the family: Transfer RNA (tRNA) molecules are approximately 80 nucleotides in length. Their secondary structure includes four short double-helical elements and three loops (D, anti-codon, and T loops). RNAcentral also lists the same sequence under 1 other name. Lineage: Bacteria; Candidatus Moraniibacteriota. The record is from RNAcentral.
GCCGUCUUAGCUCAGUUGGUAGAGCGGCGCACUCGUAACGCGCAGGUCAUCGGUUCAAUCCCGAUAGACGGCU